CCAGCCGCCCCGUCCGGGAGGGAGGUGGGGGGGUCAGCCCCCCGCCCGGCCAGCCGCCCCGUCCGGGAGGGAGGUUGGGGGGUCAGCCCUCCGCCCGGCCAGCCUCCCCGUCUGGGAGGUGAGGGGCGCCUCUGCCCGGCCGCCCCUACUGGGAAGUGAGGAGCCCCUCUGCCCGGCCAGCCGCCCCGUCCGGGAGGGAGGUGGGGAGGUCGGCCCCCCGCCCGGCCAGCCGCCCCGUCCGGGAGGGAGGUGGGGGGGUCGGCCCCCCGCCCGGCCAGCCGCCCCGUCCGGGAGGGAGGUGGGGGGGUCGGCCCCCCGCCCGGCCAGCCGCCCCGUCCGGGAGGGAGGUGGGGGGGGUCAGCCCCCCCGCCCGGCCAGCCUCCCCGUCCGGGAGGUGAGGGGCGCCUCUGCCCGGCCGCCCCUACUGGGAAGUGAGGAGCCCCUCUGCCCGGCCAGCCGCCCCGUCCGGGAGGGAGGUGGGGGGGGUCAGCCCCCCCGCCCGGCCAGCCGCCCCGUCCGGGAGGUGAGGGGCGCCUCUGCCUGGCCGCCCCUACUGGGAAGUGAGGAGCCCCUCUGCCCGGCCACCACCCCGUCUGGGAGGUGUGCCCAACAGCUCAUUGAGAACGGGCCAGGAUGACAAUGGCGGCUUUGUGGAAUAGAAAGGCGGGAAAGGUGGGGAAAAGACUGAGAAAUCGGAUGGUUGCCCUGUCUGUGUAGAAAGAAGUAGACAUGGGAGACUUUUCAUUUUGUUCUGCACUAAGAAAAAUUUCUCUGCCUUGGGAUCCUGUUGAUCUGUGACCUUACCCCCAACCCUGUGCUCUCUGAAACAUGUGCUGUGUCCACUCAGGGUUAAAUGGAUUGAGGGCGGUGCAAGAUGUGCUUUGUUAAACAGAUGCUUGAAGGCAGCAUGCUCGUUAAGAGUCAUCACCAAUCCC
This 935-nucleotide long non-coding RNA is filed under the name Homo sapiens (human). RNAcentral's name for it is "HSALNT0332754". Lineage: Eukaryota; Metazoa; Chordata; Mammalia; Primates; Hominidae. The record is from RNAcentral.